RNAcentral lists this ribosomal RNA (396 nucleotides) under uncultured bacterium. RNAcentral's name for it is "partial 16S ribosomal RNA". It matches the Rfam family "Bacterial small subunit ribosomal RNA", at positions 523 to 918 of the family's 1533-position model. The record is from RNAcentral.
AUACGUAGGGAGCGAGCGUUGUCCGGAAUUACUGGGUGUAAAGGGAGCGUAGGCGGGAGUGCAAGUCAGAUGUGAAAUACAUGGGCUCAACCCAUGGGCUGCAUUUGAAACUGCAUUUCUUGAGUGAAGGAGAGGUAAGCGGAAUUCCUGGUGUAGCGGUGAAAUGCGUAGAUAUCAGGAGGAACACCGGUGGCGAAGGCGGCUUACUGGGCUUUUACUGACGCUGAGGCUCGAAAGCGUGGGGAGCAAACAGGAUUAGAUACCCUGGUAGUCCACGCUGUAAACGAUGAUUACUAGGUGUGGGGGGACUGACCCCUUCCGUGCCGCAGUUAACACAAUAAGUAUUCCGCCUGGGGAGUACGGCCGCAAGGUUGAAACUCAAAUGAAUUGGCGGGG